GUUUGAACAUAAUUCACAACUGAAUUCACAAAGCAGUAACAGGUAACUGCGCAGCAGACUUUCAGAUCAGUUCAUUACAUUUUUCAGUCGAAAGUGCAUUACAGGAGCCCAGAGAUGAUCAAAAAUUGAGAGCAGAAGAAAUUUGAGGCUGACCAGGAUCCUGAAGUGAAGAGCAGUCCCUUUCCCAUUUAACAGCAUUCAUGAGCAGAAAAUGGGGAAGCAGAAAUGCUGAGACAGUUCAGAAGAAACAUCACCAGAAGCCACAGCAACAGCAAAGGAAGCUUAUAUGGAAGUAUUUUUGAUUUUCUCCCUUCUUUCCCCUACCCCCUGGCCCCUGCUGACUCUAACAUAACUAA
This is a long non-coding RNA of Saccostrea cuccullata (small rock oyster), 356 nucleotides long. RefSeq lists it as uncharacterized. Lineage: Eukaryota; Metazoa; Mollusca; Bivalvia; Ostreida; Ostreidae. The record is from RefSeq and is a predicted model, not a curated record. The transcript is spliced from 3 exons.